ACGCCCGGUCACAUUCCGAACCCGGAAGCUAAGCCCUCCAGCGCCGAUGGUACUGCACUCGGGAGGGUGUGGGAGAGUAGGACACCGCCGGAC
This 93-nucleotide ribosomal RNA is filed under the name Micromonospora chalcea. Lineage: Bacteria; Bacillati; Actinomycetota; Actinomycetes; Micromonosporales; Micromonosporaceae. The record is from RNAcentral. RNAcentral also lists the same sequence under 8 other names.